GAAGGUCCUGGAAAAACCACCUUUUCCGCAGAAAUUCACGUUCAUUCCCAGGAGGAUGAAGGUGCUGCCCAGAAACCCCCUGAACUUCCCAACGUUACAACUUCAUCCCAUUUCGAGAUUUCCCCCUUCCCAAGGCAGCCUGCUCAGCCUUUACUGGUGCCAUACAAACCUUCUGGAAGCACUGGGAUGUAUUAUGUUCCCUUCCUAAAAGGAGGAGCCAAAAUGUCUCCAGUUGAGUCAGAAACCAGUGGUGGGAGCUCUCACUCAGGGUCAAAUGAUGCUCCUCCUCCUCCAAGGUUUGUGCCCCACUUGCCUGGUCUGAGGGAUGAGAAUCCUCCAGGAAGUGCAGCUCUCCAGCAAAAAGAAGGAUACCACAGUAAGAGGGCCAAGCCUAAGCUGGCCUGGGCUGAGGAGCAAAGGAUCCCCCUGGAAGAUUCUGCAGAGCACAGAGAUCAUUCCAAACCUGUAAAAACCACUCAUUCCACCUUCAAAUCCACACGGUUCUACCUCCACCACCCCAUGCCCACGUGUGACAGCAGCGAGUUCUCCGAGGACAGUUCCGGACUGGGAAUUGCUCCGCCUUCCUCCGGCGGUGCCUGGAAAAAACCACACCGGCAUCAACGGGUGUUCUCUGCCCGUCACAGGAAAAGUGGGAAAAAGGAGUUCUUUCCACUCACUGCAGAAGCAGAUGAGAGUAAAAAUGAGGAUGUUGGGAAUGAGACAGCAGGGAUGGAGCGACGUCAGCACAGGAGAGAAGCAGAACAAGGAGCAGCUGGGAAUCCUCCUCUGCCACGGAGCCAAACAACUCUCCUUGAGGAGAACAUGGAGAAACAACCAAGGCAGAGAACCCACUCCAGUGGGAGCUUGGAUGAGCUCUGGGUGAAGUUCCUGGAGAGGCAGAGGAGGCACCAGCACCACGAUUUGAGGAGUACCGGGGAGCUGUCGCUGGUGGAACGCCUGGAUCGGCUGGCCAGGGUCCUGCAGAACCCCAUCCAACACACCCUGAUCCCAGCAAAAGCUGGGAGCAACGUUCCUGAAAGGAAAACCGAGGGAAGGGAGCGGACAAAAACAGGAUUGGGAGAGAACAGCACGUCCGGGAGCGGCGCGGAGCCGACGGCGACGCGAGUUGGGCAAAGAGCGCGGGACAACCCCAGCCUGGGGGAGCUCGGGGAGAAACGGGGAGAAGAGACAACGACUCACCACAGCACCCAAAUCCCUGGGGAGCAGCACCCCCUGCAAUCUCCCAGCGACAACUCCUGGGAGACCAGGCUGAGCGGAGAGCACGGCACCAGCGCCUCCGAGUGGGACACGGCCACGGAGCCGGACACCACGAGCGGGAGGAGCAGCUCCCUGUCCACCAUCGACACCGCCAGGCUGCUCAGGGCCUUCGGCCACCACAGGGUCCGGCUGUCUCCGAGGCUUUCCCGGCUCUACUCCACCAUCAGCCACCAGAAGAGCCGCUCGGAACAGUGGGACGAGGGAAGCGGCGAAGCGGCGGGCGCGGAAUAUCCGAAGGUCGGAGCUGAGAGGAGCGGGAGGAGGAGGCAGAUCCAGAGCACCAUCACCUUUUCCUCAGAUUCCACCUGUGCCAGCAGCACCUCUUGGGGUCCCAGCUGUGCCCUCAGCACCAAGAGACGGACACGGAUGCUGAACAAAGGGAUCCAGGCGGGAGACUUGGAGAUUGUCAACAGUGCAACCAAGAGAAACACCCGAGAUGUUGGAUUGACUUUUCCAACGCCAAGAUCCGUCCAGCCAUCCCAGAGCAUCCCUCGGGAAUGCUGGCAUCGUGUCCAUGCAGGGACUUCGUGGUUUGUCCAAGGAGAAGGCUCGAAAUCUGAAUCUAGGAAAGAAAACCAUUCCAGUGCCGUUUCUGGCCCUGGGCCGUCCUGGUUCGAGCCCUGGAGCAGCACCAAGCCCUGGAGGGAACCGCUCCGAGAGAAGAACUGGGAAGGGCAGCAGCACCACGAGGCUCCAGCAGCAGCUCUGGACAGAGGGGCUGGGAAGGGGCCUGUGCUGCCCUUUGUGAAGCUCACGCUGCAGGAGGCUCUGGCCGUUCAUCGCCCCGAUUUCAUCUCCCGCUCCGGGGAGCGAGUGAAGCACCUCAAGCUGGUGAUGGAGGAGAGGAGGAUCCAGAGGGGGCUGCAAUCCCAGCGGGAAGAGCUUGGGAAUUCCCUCGGGAAGAGAAAGGGCUGCAGGAGUUCCACUCACCUGCUGGCCGACAGAGGUUUUCCAGGGAGGGAAAAAAGAAGAGCAAUUCCAAAGAGUGAAAUGGUCCAGAGGUCUAAAAGGAUCUAUGAGCAGCUUCCAGAGGUGAGGAAGAAGAGGGAGGAGGAGAAGAGAAGGCUGGAAUACAACUCGUACCGCCUGAAAGCACAGCUCUAUAAAACAAAAAUCACCAACCACAUCUUAGGGAAGAAGGUGCCUUGGGACUGAUGGGAAUGAUCCCUUCAAACCACCCUGGGAUGUUCCAGCCCCGGAGCAGAAUGUGACGUGGAAGGAAAAAAAAACCAAAACACGCAGGGAAUGCUUUUACAGCUCAGAUUUUGUGGUGUUGGGUGGCUUUUUGUACUGAUCUGAUCUUGCCCUGUUUAAGAAUCAACGAUUUGGGAUGAGUGUCAGGCUUUUAUGGGGGUUUUUUUUGUAGGGGUUUGAUGCGCUUCCAAAGUCAGCAUAGUUGGGAAAAACUCGCCUCAUAAUAUAUUUACAGCUCCCUGAUUGGAAUAGAGGCUUUCUAUAUUUAUUUUCAAUGGGGUUUGAACAAUGAUUUUUUUAUUAUUAUUUUUUGAAUUCCUGUCUUGUAGAAAAUUUCCUUGUUUUUAAUAACAACAAAAAAAAAAACCUGAAUAAAGCACCUGAGUUGUAGUAAACUGUUGCAGCUUGUCUGGGGAUGAACCUGGAGAGAGUCUAAUCAGAGGUAUUUUUGAGGAUUUUGGGGGGAAUUUUUAAGGCUUUCCAGGGAGAAUCACCCCCACCUGAUGAGAUGGUCAUGUCCUGCCUGGUUGCACCUUCAACCAGCAUCACUUCAAAGAGAAAAUACAGAGGUUUGUGGUUCUUGGUGGUAAAAUCUUAAGUGAUGUUUUUCUUGUCACUGUGGAGCUCGUGUGGUGGAUAAACAGGAAAAAACACAUCUGAGGGAGAAUGAAGUGGGUGUGAGCUGUGGUUUCCUAUUCUCUCUGCCUCAGGUGUUCUCAGUAACUCAGUUCAAGGAGCAGUUUUGAGAAAACGCCCAAUUCUGCGGAAACUGAGGCACAGCUCGGAGAGGGAAGGCUCUGGAGAGACCUUCCAGCACCUUCCAGGGCCUGGAGAGGCUCCAGGAGAGCUGGAGAGGGACUGUGGGGACAAUGCAUGGAGGGACAGGACACAGGGAAUGGCUUCAAACUGGAAAAGUGAAGAUUUAGAUGGGAUAUUGGGAAGGAAUUGUUGGUUGUGUCUGAUACAGGAAUGGACUUGUUCCCUGGGACGAGAAAUUGGGGUGUCUUGGGAGUCCUGACAAGAUCUUCCCUCACUUUGAACUCGUUUAAGGCCAUUCAGCUGCUUAACUCUGCCUUUAGCUUUGCAAUGAUGAAACACCAAAGGGAGCUGAAGGGCUUUGAUGAUGGAAAAGCCCUCUGAGGUCAAGUCCAAGCAUUCCCAGCACUGCCAAGGCCACCCCUGUCCCCAAGUGCCACAUCCCCUCCAGGGAUGGGGAUCCACCCCUGCCCUGGGCAGCUGUGCCAGGGCUGGUUUCAUCACCCUUUGGGUGCUGAAAUCUUCUCCCAAAAUUGAUGAGGAGGGGAGUGUUGUCGUCCAUCCCUCCCUCGGUUUCUCCCUCAGGGAUUCUCGUGAAGCUGACUCACCCCCAUUCCACUGCCAUGGGAUAAAUCUUGUGCUGGAUGCAGAGCAGCCAGUGUUUACAGUUCUGGGGGAAGGAGACUGUUGAUGUUUGGAGUCCCUGCUUCCAACACUCCAAACUUCAUUCCAAGAACUCAGCUUGGCUUGUGUUGCUUCCAGAGUGGAGUCAUCCAGUGAAGUUCUGCAAAUUUUGGGGAGCUCAGUGAGGACAGAACUGAUUUUUUUUUUUUUUUUUGGACUCCUGCAGGAGCAGAUUUUUACUCUCAAUUAAUCAGGAAUGUUCUUGGAUCAGCAGCCUCCCCUCACAGGGAUUGCUGUGUGUCCACAACCUGAACUUGAGGUGGGAAACGUGGUGGAUGGGGUGGACAAACAAGGAACUGGAAAAGAGGUAUUAAAAAAUCCACCUUAUGCUUUGAGACUUGAUUUUAAAAUAAGAGGCUUUUUAUUUUUUGCACCUUCCACUUCCUCUUCCAUGGCCAUUUCCAAGAGUUCUCCCUUUUGUGCUGGAAAUUCCACCCUGAGAGACUUUUAGAGAAACAUGGUCAGUCCUCUGGUUUUUGGUGGGUGUUUUUGGAGUCCCUCCUAUGGAGAACCACUCAAGUUUGUUUGGAUUUUUUUUGGAAUCCUUUCCAUGGAGAACCCUUCUCAUAUCAGGCCCUGAUGGGGCUUGAGUGGAUGUUUGGGACACAUUCUCUCAUUGCUGGUAACUGGAAAGAAUCCCUUGGAAAUCUCUUGUGACGAGGAUGUAAAAAUAGAGCUGGAGCGCCCAAUUUCCUUGGAAAAGGAAGUUCCUCCCAGAAUUCAGUCAUGUUACCAAACAUCUGCCUGGAUGUGGCCUGGUCCAGUGUGGUGGCUGCUGGAGGACCCUUCCCAGAAGGAAUUCUGGUGGUAAAUUUGUAGGCAUUGUAGGAGAACACAACGGGACGACUUGGAAGAGGAGGAGGCAAGGAAGGAUUUGCCCUGUGGAACUGCAGCAGAUAAACUGAAUUCCCCGGGUCAGAGGAGCCCCCGAGGGCGGGUGAAGGACCCCCGGCGUGACAAAUGGAAGCGGCGGUGAUUAAUGCGCUCCUGGAAGGCGCUCAAAUUCCACGGGGAUGAGGACACUUGGGAGAGGUCUUCCUAGGGAAAAAGGGGAUUUUUUAAAUCCAGUCCAAUUUCAUCCCUGUGCCCAUGUGGGAUGCAGCCCUGUUGCUUCAUCAGAAGCUGCUUCAAACUUCGUGAUGUAGGAGAGACUCCAGCUCGUUUUCCUGAAGUUGUGGUUUCCCUACCUGAGAUGGAUUCGGUGGAUUCCAUGAAUCCCCCUGUGUGGCUGCUGGUCCCAGCCAGGCCUCCAUGAGUCAUCUGCUGAGGAGCCAGCCCUGACCUUCCUCUGGACAGGGAUGAGCCCCCUGAGACUUCCCCGUUGGAUCUGGAGGAGAUGACGCUCCAGCCGUGGCCUCCUCAGCUCGAGUUCCUGUGACAUCACGUGUGGAUUGAACUGUCAUUUGAAGGGAUUGUGUGAAGUUUGGUCUGAAGAGACUUUUUUGGGGGUCUGUCAGGGCAAAAGCUUUUUUGAGCAGCAGAGAAGUGUUUUACUAGAGAAGGGCAAUGCAUCCAGGGAAGGGAACGGAGCUGGGAAGGGGCUGGAGCAGCAGGAGCAGCUGAGGGAACUGGGGGGGCUCAGC
This is an RNA transcript of Myiozetetes cayanensis, 5495 nucleotides long. It is a transcript of the gene named ALMS1 centrosome and basal body associated protein, with no coding region annotated. The transcript is spliced from 12 exons. NCBI's taxonomy places the organism in Eukaryota, Metazoa, Chordata, Aves, Passeriformes, Tyrannidae. The record is from RefSeq and is a predicted model, not a curated record.